Molecule: ribosomal RNA, 484 nt
Filed under: uncultured bacterium
Lineage: Bacteria
Description: partial 16S ribosomal RNA
Rfam family: Bacterial small subunit ribosomal RNA
Source: RNAcentral
AUUGAACGCUGGCGGCAUGCUUUACACAUGCAAGUCGAACGGCAGCGCGGGCUUCGGCCUGGCGGCGAGUGGCGAACGGGUGAGUAAUACAUCGGAACGUGCCCAGUAGUGGGGGAUAGCUCGGCGAAAGCCGGGUUAAUACCGCAUACGACCUGAGGGUGAAAGCGGGGGAUCUUCGGACCUCGCGCUAUUGGAGCGGCCGAUGGCAGAUUAGCUAGUUGGUGGGGUAAAGGCCUACCAAGGCGACGAUCUGUAGCUGGUCUGAGAGGACGACCAGCCACACUGGGACUGAGACACGGCCCAGACUCCUACGGGAGGCAGCAGUGGGGAAUUUUGGACAAUGGGCGAAAGCCUGAUCCAGCAAUGCCGCGUGUGUGAUGAAGGCCUUCGGGUUGUAAAGCACUUUUGGCGGGAACGAAAAGGACUGUGCCAAUACCACGGUUCGAUGACGGUACCCGCAGAAUAAGCACCGGCUAACUACGUG